CACCGGCCUCACCCGGAACUACGUUUCCCAGGAAGCAUCGCGGCAAAAGGACGCGUCCCUUUAGCAACUCGCCGUGACGAACUUCGCACGCCGGUCUCCAGAUAGCUCUGAACUACGCUUUCCAAGGGGUGUCGAGGAUGGCCCGCGGCCUACUAGCCCAAGCAAACAGGGCCUCUCAGCGCGCCAGGCUUGGAACUACAUUUCCCAGAAUGGCUGCAGGGUUCCCCCCCCCUCCCAAAUUGGCUCGCGCGCAGGCAUGCGCAGACGUGCCGACGGGGAGGCCGAGGUGGGGAGGAGGAGUUGUCGUGGCGGCAUCGUCCCGAAACCGGUGGAGGUUGGACGCCGGCGGGUGCUCUGGAAAUGAAAUCCCCGGUCCAUAGGGCAGGCAGGCGAGGAGGAGGGGCCUCGCCAGAGUUCGGCGCCCCUCAGGCCUGUUGGGUGCGUCUCCUUGAGAACGGGUCUGCCUGGGCGGCGCUACCAAAGUCCGAGGCCGGCGCGCAGCGGAUCGCGCCUGGCUGGGGCCUACCUGCGCGCCCUGGUUCGGCUUCCCCGGCGGGAGCCCGGCGCACAGCGUCUGGCCUCGGGGUCCGCUCCUGCGUGAAUCGGGAGAGGGUGCUGCCGGCCACACGUCGUUGGCGUGCCCCCAUCGGACAGGGCCCUGCCUUAGUUUCCGCACCUCGGAAACGGUAGGGCGGGAGGAAACGCGAGGAGAUGGGCCGAAGCUCCCACGAGCCGCGUGGGCCGGGGGCAGCGCUGGACGUCGUCCUACCUCCCAUUGCUUGAACGAACGGUGACUUCCCCCCAGGUUUACCUGCGGUCGGUGGCUGAAUGCGAGCUUCCCGCCGGGCCCACCGGUCUGCCCCUCGCUCCUGUCCUUCGUGAGUGCCAGCUCUCCGGCCUCCUUUCUGCUCCAGGAGCACCGCUGAUCCGUUCCCGCUCACAGCAUCUCCAGAACUCCCUUCCUCUCGCAGAUCUGAAAGUCUGCCCGGUUCUCCCUCCCACCCUCUGCCCCAGCCCCGCGGUACCCCGUAUGGGUGGCAUUAGGCUGUAUGUCUUCUUGGGACGGGCUGACUGCAUGUAGCACAAUGUUCUCUGCGUUCACCUGUGACGUGGUUGCUGUGUGAUGUGGCCUUUCCCCAGUGUCCCUUAUCCGGGGAUCCUGAGGACCUCGUGUGCCGUUUUGUGCCAUGCUACAGACGCCUGCCGAGGUUUGACGUCUCUCCUCCACGCUGGACAUCCUCAAGGAGGAGGGCCGAGGACUAGGGCGGGGGCAUCCUGAGUCGGGGGCAGUGCCCCUCGAGUUCUCCGAGACUGGGUGCCACCCUCCUCUGGCCCCAGAAGUGGGACCAGCCACUCGAGAAACAUCUGAUGUCCUGCGAUAAUACCAGGAAAAACUGCCUGCGGUAAAUACACUGUCAUUGAAAACACGAGUCCUGCAGCAACAGGGAGUGUUUCUCAGAACCUUACACCCACUUGGCAUUUAUGAUGAGCUUUUAUGGCUCUGAGAACAAUUCGCUGCCGGAAGAGGAAAGUGAGCAGGCUCUAGAGCUUGUUCAUACCAACAACCGCUCACCCCUUCUUGUUAAUGUACUCUUCCAGCAGGUUUUACUUGAAAUGGAUGAAACCCAGGGAGUCAGAAUAUGUGUUUCUUAUUAAACAAUAAAGUCAUUGCAUAUAUUUAAAUCAAGUUCAUUAAAAGCUUUUUGGCUUUA
Mustela lutreola (European mink) is the source of this 1712-nucleotide long non-coding RNA. RefSeq lists it as uncharacterized. The transcript is spliced from 2 exons. The record is from RefSeq and is a predicted model, not a curated record. Lineage: Eukaryota; Metazoa; Chordata; Mammalia; Carnivora; Mustelidae.